UCUUCUUGCCUUGUGCAGAACACCAUAUAUAACAAGAUUACUGCUUCCUCUCAGUAAUUCUCCAAGCAAAUUUCAGAAACUCUUUGCUAAUGGCCUUUUCGUGUAGCAUAGUGUCCAAAUCCAUGGUAAUAUUUCCCAGCUUCAAGCCGUGUCUACUCAAGACAAUAAUAGCCAUAAGAUGCCUAAAUACAACAAGGAGGCCGCCAAGGCCACCCGUAAAAACUAAACCACCACAAAACAACAAUUACAAAGACAAGAAAGAGACUCUGAUGACAGAGGAGAACAGUAACAGAAAGCUCCAAGACGAUAAUUCCAUGGUCAAAUCAAACUAGGAAUCUUGUUUCUUAAAGCUAAUAAGUCAUUCGUACUUAGUCUAAAGUUAUUCUGUAGUAGGUGCUUGUAUUGUCCGGAUUGUAAUAUAGGGUUUGUUAUGCAUGGAUAUUCGUAAUAAUGCAAAAGUUGUAAUAUAAGAGCUGUAAUGCAGAAAUUGUAAUAUACGGAUAAUAAUGCAUGGAUUACUAAUAUAUAUGAAUUGUACGUAA
This is a long non-coding RNA of Nicotiana tabacum (common tobacco), 542 nucleotides long. RefSeq lists it as uncharacterized. The record is from RefSeq and is a predicted model, not a curated record. Lineage: Eukaryota; Viridiplantae; Streptophyta; Magnoliopsida; Solanales; Solanaceae.